This 252-nucleotide ribosomal RNA is filed under the name uncultured bacterium. Its description in RNAcentral is "partial 16S ribosomal RNA". It matches the Rfam family "Bacterial small subunit ribosomal RNA", at positions 524 to 776 of the family's 1533-position model. The record is from RNAcentral.
GACGUAGGGCGCGAGCGUUGUCCGGAUUUAUUGGGCGUAAAGAGCUCGUAGGCGGCUUGUCGCGUCGUCCGUGAAAACUUGGGGCUCAACCCCAAGCUUGCGGUCGAUACGGGCAGGCUAGAAUUCGGUAGGGGAGACUGGAAUUCCUGGUGUAGCGGUGAAAUGCGCAGAUAUCAGGAGGAACACCGGUGGCGAAGGCGGGUCUCUGGGCCGAUAUUGACGCUGAGAGCGAAAGCGUGGGGAGCGAACAGG